CAGCCAUGGUGAGGGCACUGUCUUUGGAUGUCUCGGUAUCUCUCCAAGCCUCAAAGAGACUUUCAUCCGGUUUCUGCCUAAAGGUAGCGAUCUUCGUCUUUAGCCU
Jatropha curcas is the source of this 106-nucleotide non-coding RNA. The record is from Rfam. NCBI's taxonomy places the organism in Eukaryota, Viridiplantae, Streptophyta, Magnoliopsida, Malpighiales, Euphorbiaceae.